GGGUUUCACGUUGUUCAUGGAAUUUUCGAUGAUCCCGACGGCCGGCGAGGAGUUUAAAAACAUGGGAAGAAAGAGAAGAGGGAGAGGAAGAAAAUUUGGAGCAUUACCUGAGCUCCGGUGGCCUCUUCAACCUUCUAUUUUUUAUGAACACGAGAAGAGGCUGUCGCGGCUUCUACGGAGAAAAGGAGAGGAAUCGGGCUCGAAGAUCAUCGGUGGAGGGUCUUGAGAGAGGGAGAGGCUUAUUUAUAGGGGUCCCUAGGGCUCGGGUGAUCCUAGGACUCCCCUUCCAUCAG
RNAcentral lists this long non-coding RNA (293 nucleotides) under Elaeis guineensis (African oil palm). RNAcentral describes it as "long non-coding RNA (EGUI_LNC027174)". Lineage: Eukaryota; Viridiplantae; Streptophyta; Magnoliopsida; Arecales; Arecaceae. The record is from RNAcentral.